CGCACCAACCCUAGCUCCCCGUCCACAGCCACACACUCCUCCCUCCUCCCUCUCACAGCCGCCACACCCCAUUCCUCUCUUCCUCCUCCCUCCUCCUUCCUGGAUCCCUGCCACCGCCACACCCACUCGUCUCCUCCUCUCUCCUUCCUGAUCUCUAUGUUGUCCGCAGCGCGAGAGGAGCAGCGGCGGCGGAGAUGCUCCCGGCCCCGCCUCUCGAUGCACAGCCCGCGCCGCCGUGGACGUCCCGAGCCCCGUGGAGGUGCGCCGCCGGCCACGAGCGCCGCGAUGGCUGUGGUCCCGCUCAUGGAGUCAUCCAUGGCCGCCCGGAACGCGAAGAGGAGGGAGGGGCUCGCGGCGCGCUGGGGGGUGGGGGGGGGGGGGCAGGCGGGGGAAGGAAUGGGCGGGUGGGAAGGAGGCGAGCGGGACGGGCGGGGCGGCAGAUGGGGAGGCGGCUAGGGUUCUACCUGCUGCUGACGGAAGUAGCAGGGUUUGAAGGAGCGGCAGAUGUGGGCAUGGUUGCGGUUGGGGAAGGCUCGCCGGCUGGGGGACGACGAGCAUCGGUGAGCGCAACAAAAGGAAGCCAGGCAUCGGCGUACGACAACGAUUUGGGCGCCUGCGGCAUGACGGCGAGUCGCUGCCGAAUGCUCAGCGAUGGGGCGAGUUGGUUAAGGCGUCAGUGGCGCCUUUGCUCGUCGCCAAGGAUGGCACGUGCGCGAUCUGAAGUACAACGCCGGCCAACUUCGGCCUCCGAGGCUUCCCUGACACCCUCCUCUACCACUACCUCAAUAAAAAGGUCUUCGAAGGAUUAGGGCUUAGGGCAACUCGAUGGCAGCCAGUCGGAGUUUGCUAAGUUGCAUAUGCAAGUCCUUUUGAAAUAUGAAACUUCUGUGUGGUGAUGAGCUUCUGCUCAUCUUGCUUGAUUCAUCUCCGGUGAAGGGGGCUUGUCCUUCCAUGGUGCUCAGCCACGGACAGAUUUGGAGGGAAAAUAGGAGAUCCUGACGAAAAUGAGCAUGCUAGCGGUGGAUCCAAGGAUGCAUGGUGAUUGUGCCGGGUUUGUGCUCUGGCUCUUCUGUUGGGUUUUUCCAUGGUUGUAUAUGGCAUAUUGGCGUUAUCAGGAGUUGUGGUUCUGGAUUUGUUCGUUGCUCUAUAGAUCUAUUAUUUGAAGAACUGAUGAUAUACAGUGAGUUACCUUGCACCAUUAUUUGGCCUUUCAAGCGCUUGAUUUGAAUUUUUUAAUGUAUUCAAAGUGUCCCUACUUCCUAACAAGCCACCCAUUUUGUCGUGUGUAUGUGUUGUCAUCACAAAGUUGUUUUCUGCCCACCCGAAAAGCGCUCACCCAGACAAUCACGUGGAGGUGUGCUUUGCAUUAUUAUCUUUAAUUGAAGUUCUAUUGUGUUGUCAUCAUAUUCAAAACUAUAGUUCUUUACUUGCAGCAUCUUGAAGUGAGCAAUAUUUCGAUGCUUAUUUCCUGAUGAUUUAAGAAGUUUCGUGCACUACCAAACUUAAUUUGAAAACACUAGCUUGUUUUGUAGGAAUUGUCUUUCUUUGCUUCGAACUUGUGAUUUAUGGCUGAUGUCAACUCCAUCUUUUUAGGUGCUUGUCAAGUAUGGGUGGAAAGCUUGACAAUUCGUUUUUAUCUCUAUGAUCUCCUCAUGACCACAACCAUAGUGCAGGAUGCUGCUGCCCAAGUUGUCAUUUAUCUUUGGGUAUUCCUUAAUGUUGGGUCUACUACAUGUCCAGAUCACUAGAUGAUACAAAGGUGUCUUCCCUUCCUUUGUUUAUAUUCCUUUAUGUUGGGGCUGGUGUUAGGGGCCAGUUCUUUUGGGCAAUUCUCCCAGAAUUAACCCCCUCCCCAGCUUCUCCCAGAAUUGCCACUUAAUAUUUUUUUACAAUUCCUAGCUAAUUAGACCUUAACUAGCUAGGAAUUGUAAAAAAAUAUUAAGUGGCAAUUCUGGGAGAAGCUGGGGAGGGGGUCAAUUCUGGGAGAAUUGCCCAAAAGAACUGGCCCUAGGUUCCACUGGAUCAAAUUUUAGCUGUUGUUUCUUAUGUUCUAGAGAAGCUAGAGGAGUAAUUAGUGUUCUCUGUUUUUCUAAUGAGUGUAUGUGUGGAACUAUGGAUGCAUACAAAUAGUAAAGGAGCAAUUAACUUUCUUUUUUGCAAGUAUAUGUGGAUGCGCAUAAAGUGUUGGCUGUCUGCUUAUAUCAAGUAUGGUCUAUAUUUUGGUCAUAUCAGCCCCAGUAUUGAGCAUACCGACUGAUAUUCUGGUCAUAUCAGCCCCAAUAUUGAGCAUGCCAGCUGAUAUUCUGGUCAUAUCACACUUUCUACAGUCUACACCAAAUCUGUGAGCACGAUAUCUGAUAUUUGAAUCUUGAAAUUAUCAUUAGAAAGGCAAAGAGAUCUUGUAGAAAAAUAGGUUACAUGCUCAGGUAUAUCAUAUAUGGAGAAAAGGCACCUAUCAGCUGUAUUGGUUCUUUCGUAUUUUUGUGCAGUCCUUCUAUUAAUUUUUCUAACUUUCUGGAUUUAUAUUUGAGCAAGAUAAAUAUAUUCCAUCUCUAUCCCAGUACAGAAUCGAAGCUUCAUCAAAUCUAUCUGGGCGUUCAUUGUGUAAUACAAUGUUGAGAUUGAGAACAUUUUCAGAGGGGAACUUAAGGUAUCACCUAAUGAUAUAAUAUUAGUCACUAUCCGUUGAUUGGUAAAUUUUGCUUUAGUAUACACCCCUUCGGGAUAUGGCUUUCAAUCCUAUACUUUUCUUUGAGUAGACAAUUGUGGUCUUAAUUACUUUAAAGGAUCGUUAAUAUAUUACUGUCGCUUUCCAUGUUCAGUUAUUCACACUAUAUUAUUGCUUGGUUCUGAUAGCUUGCUAUUAUUAGAGAAGGAAUGGUAUUCCCGUCUGACAUUCAAAAGCAGUCAAGAUGGUGAAGUUUAGAACGGAGGAGCUCCGCGGAAUUAUGGAUAAAAAAUAUCCAUAACAUGCCUGUCAUUGCUCAUGUCGACCAUGGUAUGUGACGGAGCAGUGACAGUUGUCUCUAAUUGUCAAGUUUAUACGGUGGAAUCUUCUUGAUUGAUGAUAUAGCCUUCUCUUAGUUGUACUGUAUUAAUCCUUAAAACUGGAUCAUUUAAAAUUAGUUAGAUUUAAUGAGUUGUUUCACUGUUUUCAAAUAAGUAGUUUAAGCCCUUAUUGUGUCCCGAAGCUUAUUCUUUCUACCUUUUUAUGAUUGAUAUAUGCUCUAAUAAGCUUAAAUGUAACUAUUGGCAUAUAAUCUCAUGGCUCAAAAUCUUAGUUGUUGAAUGUAUUAAAAUUUAUAAGAGUUUGCACUAUAUUUCAUCCUGCAGUAUUACCAAUAACUGAAUAUUAAGAGCACCGACGAUUCCAGGUUGUACAUUCGGGAAAUGCUUUUAUCUUGCAGGCCAGUUUUACAUUUACUUCUUCGAUAAGGAGAUGAUCAUGAACAAAGUAUCAUGGUAUUUGCCUUGGCAUUACUGAUGUUGUGUUCAGAUUACUGAAGGAUUGGUAGCCGCAAAGGAGUGAAGGGUAGAAAAUAUGUCCAUUGUCAUUGAAUUGGUGGGAUUGUCCCCAAGUUAGUGCUGCAGAUGUUUCUAUUUUAGAGCAAGAAGCCAAAUCACGCUGUUCAUUGUAAAUCUUGAAAAACUUGUUUAUUGUCACUUCUAUAUCUGUUGUAAACGUUUGUUCGUGA
Triticum aestivum (bread wheat) is the source of this 3695-nucleotide long non-coding RNA. RefSeq lists it as uncharacterized. NCBI's taxonomy places the organism in Eukaryota, Viridiplantae, Streptophyta, Magnoliopsida, Poales, Poaceae. The record is from RefSeq and is a predicted model, not a curated record. The transcript is spliced from 4 exons.